Long non-coding RNA from Xyrauchen texanus (razorback sucker), 753 nucleotides. RefSeq lists it as uncharacterized. Lineage: Eukaryota; Metazoa; Chordata; Actinopteri; Cypriniformes; Catostomidae. The record is from RefSeq and is a predicted model, not a curated record. The transcript is spliced from 3 exons.
CAUACGUAAUACAGUUUCAUAACAACAGCUGUUGAAAAUACUUGAACAGGCAAGGCGCUUCCGGAACAACAUCAAGAACAUUCACACACAGACGCGGGGUUUUCUUGGUGUCGAAACAUUUGAUAAAGGCAAUUUUCUUAUAGUUGUUCAGACACGGUAGAAACGGUGCAUUCUGUAGGCCUACACCAUGGUAUGACUUCUGAUCAAAGCCAGCGUCUAUGUGGUGCGCAAAAUCAGCGCUGCCCUUAAAGAUGGUGAGCAGACAGAUCAACCUGUGCUUACACCAUGUGACCUGGCUAAAAGAAAAAAGGAGGGCUUUGCAACAGACGCAUUAAUGUCAGCUCCAGAGCCUGAGGAUGCUUUUGCGUCACCUGCACCUACAGAGACAGCAGUACAGAAAUGUGGUUCCUGAGGUUAAAGGUCACGCGGAAGCAGAACUGGCCUCAAUGGGGGCUGUUUUGCUGUCUCAGAAGGCAGAUUGUGGCGUAAAGAUCUGGCAUCAGACCAGUUUUGCUCUGCGUGACCUUUUUAUUGGUGCAAAUUCUCACACUUUCUCUCUACCUCUCUCUCAUUCUUUUCUCCUCUUUUUGUGUCCCAUCAGCUGUAGUAUGUGAAGGUCUGUUCAUCAACUUCUGCCUCAGGAGCAGUUCAGAUCUGAUGUUUACCUACAGCUUUUAUACUUAUCAAAUCUUUUGCUAACCUCUUGUCAUGUUUGCCAUGACAAAAGCAGCCAAUAAAAUUGUGAAACUUCAA